Molecule: non-coding RNA, 73 nt
Organism: Podarcis lilfordi (Lilford's wall lizard)
Lineage: Eukaryota; Metazoa; Chordata; Lepidosauria; Squamata; Lacertidae
Source: the annotation of a GenBank genome assembly
GCUGGGAUGGCUCAAUCGGCAGAGCAUGAGUCUCUUAAUCUCAGGGUCGUGGGUUUGAGCCCCGUGUUGGGCA